This 232-nucleotide ribosomal RNA is filed under the name uncultured bacterium. RNAcentral describes it as "partial 16S ribosomal RNA". It matches the Rfam family "Bacterial small subunit ribosomal RNA", at positions 99 to 334 of the family's 1533-position model. The record is from RNAcentral.
CGGACGGGUGAGUAACGCGUAGGAAUCUACCUGGUAGUGGGGGACAACAUGGUGAAAACCAUGCUAAUACCGCAUACGCCCUAAGGGGGAAAGCGGGGGAUCUUCGGACCUCGCGCUAUUGGAUGAGCCUGCGUAAGAUUAGCUAGUUGGUGGGGUAAAAGCUCACCAAGGCGACGAUCUCUAGCUGGUCUGAGAGGAUGAUCAGCCACACUGGAACUGAGACACGGUCCAG